AUGAACAAGGCCCUGAAACGGACAAUGGUGGAGGUGAACACCAUCUUGGCAAAAUACCACAUCUUUGCGACUGUGACAGACCGAUACCUUGGUAUCGAUAAGGCUGUUCUUCAUUUUGUGUACUACGAGAGGGGCUCUUGUCAGCUGCAAUUACAAGAAGACUUGAUGGCAAUUUUCCGAGCAAAACAGAAUUCAUCUUCAGUGGAAAUCGACAUUCGAGGCGAAAUUUCAGACC
Long non-coding RNA from Branchiostoma floridae (Florida lancelet), 235 nucleotides. RefSeq lists it as uncharacterized. The record is from RefSeq and is a predicted model, not a curated record. The transcript has 3 exons. NCBI's taxonomy places the organism in Eukaryota, Metazoa, Chordata, Leptocardii, Amphioxiformes, Branchiostomatidae.